UUUCCGUAGGUGAACCUGCGGAAGGAUCAUUCGUAAUAAGUGUUUUAUGGCACUUUUUUAAAUCCAUACCCACCUUGUGUGCAAUGUCAGGGUUGAUUUUUCUCUCGAGAGGAUCAACCCCAAACAUCAACUAUAUCUCAACUCUUUGUCUGAAAAAUAUUAUGAAUAAAACAAUUCAAAAUACAACUUUCAACAACGGAUCUCUUGGCUCUC
RNAcentral lists this unclassified non-coding RNA (213 nucleotides) under plant metagenome. Its description in RNAcentral is "partial contains small subunit ribosomal RNA, internal transcribed spacer 1, and 5.8S ribosomal RNA". The record is from RNAcentral.